ACUAGCAGCUGUACCACCUUCAGUUAUGUAAUCCAUCUGAAACUAAGCAGGUUUAGGCCUGGCCAGUAGUUGGAUGGGAGACCAACUAGGAUUACUGGGCUCCUGCUGGGA
This 111-nucleotide ribosomal RNA is filed under the name Paramormyrops kingsleyae. Lineage: Eukaryota; Metazoa; Chordata; Actinopteri; Osteoglossiformes; Mormyridae. The record is from RNAcentral.